This is a long non-coding RNA of Folsomia candida, 886 nucleotides long. RefSeq lists it as uncharacterized. Lineage: Eukaryota; Metazoa; Arthropoda; Collembola; Entomobryomorpha; Isotomidae. The transcript has 3 exons. The record is from RefSeq and is a predicted model, not a curated record.
UUCAUGGUCUGAACUUUCAAAGUUUCAACUCUUUGUGUCCACAGAAAUACGGUAGGUUCCAACAUGUCUGGUUGGAUGGUCGUGCAAAAUGUCGAGUCAGAAUUUUAAACUCCAACUUUCUCAGUGGAAUUGUUUUUUCCUCGAGUUGCGUUGAGCGGCGCAUAUGAAGCCGAAGGAAAGAUUGUUUCGAUGUACCCAAUUUCUGGGCUUGGAAACUGGCAAAUUCGGGAUUUUAGCUUGGGUUUGACCAUUCGGAUUUCUGGCUUUGCGAUUGAAGAUGGAUACAUAAAUAUUCGGAGUUACUCGAACCGAGAAAUUGUUUUGAAUGAUCCCAUUUCCGACGUGGCGAAUCAUGUGCUUUUCCCCGACUUGGUAACCGCUGAUAGUGCGGAUGGUUUGGGGAUCGAGGUUCUCGGAAUUUUGGGAGAAAUGUUUGAGAGGGAGGUGAAACACCCGAUCGCUAAUUCGGUCCUGGACUAUUUAAACUUUAAAUUCUCAAAUACUCCAAUCACCGAAAUUAUUGGGACAACGAGGCCACCCUGCUAAUCCAGAAUUUUGUUUGACGACCGGUACUAACACUUGAAUUUGGGAACCGUGAACCAUAUGUGUAAUUAGUUUUCAAAAAUUUAUUCAGCUUAAAUCAAUUUGUUCCAUUGUGUAGAAUUAUGAAACAAAACUUAUUCAUGCAAUGAAACCUUAAUGGAAAGACAGCAUACAUAAAUAUGUACAUACAUACAUGUUUGCAAAAGCACUAAGCAUCGAUUUUUUCUUAAUGGUAAAUUGGCUUCAAAAUUUUGACCAAAAUAUAUGUAAGCUUUAAGAUAAAUAUAUAAGCUUUCAUGUACAUAUGCAUGUAAAUAAAUGUUUGGCGUCAAAGCCGAAAUUA